RNAcentral lists this ribosomal RNA (468 nucleotides) under uncultured bacterium. RNAcentral describes it as "partial 16S ribosomal RNA". It matches the Rfam family "Bacterial small subunit ribosomal RNA", at positions 28 to 507 of the family's 1533-position model. The record is from RNAcentral.
GACGAACGCUGGCGGCGUGCUUAACACAUGCAAGUCGAACGGACAGGCCCUGCUUUUGUGGGGUGCUCGUGUGGCGAACGGGUGAGUUACACGUGAGUAACCUGCCCUUGACUUUGGUAUCACUUCAGGAAACUGGGGCUAAUACCGGAUAGGAGCUCCUGCCGCAUGGUGGGUGUUGGAUAGUUUCGGCGGUUGGGGAUGGACUGGCUGCUUAUCAGCUUCUUGGUGGGGUAGUGGCUUACCAUGUCUUUGACGUGUUGCCGACCUGAGAGGCGAAGCGGACACAUUGCGACUGAGAUACGACCCAGACUCCUACGGGAGGCAGCGGAGGAGAAUAGUGUACAGUAGGAGGAAGCGAGAUGCAACGACGCCGCGUGCGGGAAGACGGGCUGCGGGUGGGAAACCGAUUUCGCAUGUGACGAAGCGUGAGUGACGGUAAUGGAUAAAGAAGCACCGGCUAACUACGUG